This is a long non-coding RNA of Quercus lobata, 656 nucleotides long. RefSeq lists it as uncharacterized. The transcript is spliced from 3 exons. Lineage: Eukaryota; Viridiplantae; Streptophyta; Magnoliopsida; Fagales; Fagaceae. The record is from RefSeq and is a predicted model, not a curated record.
UCCUAUCUCACUCAGCCACCGAAGCCCACACAUAUACACCCUCUAGUUCCCUCUAUUUCUCUCACUCCCUCAUUGGUAAACCAGCCAUCCACCACCACUUUUGGCGGAUUUCACCGGAGAAACCCAUUAGAAACCCCAUAUGCUCCAUUCUCUCAAAGCUUUAAAGGUUCUGAUAUUCUUGGUGAUGGACCUAGUGACUGGAUUAGUUGAUUUUGUAGUGCCCGGUUGAGGUGAAAUUGGUUGGCCUUCCGAGAAUCAGAUCUAGGUCAAUGCCCUUUCACUUUAGAUGACGCGUUCUUCCCUGCUGCCUAUGAGGGGAAGAGGUUCCUUGAUUGUGUGUGGGUGAGGCUGUUGCCUAUGGGGCCAAGAGACCACAUGCAAGAGAGGUCCUAUUUGACGCGCUCUCUCUGCUGCCCAUGGGAGGAGAGAAAAACCUUGAGCGUAUGGGUAAGGCUGCUAUCCAUGGGGCCAAGAGUCUGCAUACCAGAGAGGACAAUAUCAUGCCAGUUGUGAAUGGGUGGAUCCCCUGACCAGUCUAUGUGGCAGUAUGGUAGAUUUGUGAUAAAAUUACCGUGUGUAGAUUUUAUGGCUUUGGAAAUUAUAUUGUUAGUGCUCACAGAUUAUAAUAUACAAUUUCAUGGUAUUAUUUUGAGAAA